This 616-nucleotide ribosomal RNA is filed under the name Paenibacillus pabuli. RNAcentral describes it as "bacterial SSU rRNA". It matches the Rfam family "Bacterial small subunit ribosomal RNA", at positions 16 to 611 of the family's 1533-position model. Lineage: Bacteria; Bacillati; Bacillota; Bacilli; Caryophanales; Paenibacillaceae. The record is from RNAcentral.
AUCCUGGCUCAGGACGAACGCUGGCGGCAUGCCUAAUACAUGCAAGUCGAGCGGACUUGAAGAGAAGCUUGCUUCUCUGAUAGUUAGCGGCGGACGGGUGAGUAACACGUAGGCAACCUGCCCUCAAGUUUGGGACAACUACCGGAAACGGUAGCUAAUACCGAAUAGUUGUUUUCUUCUCCUGAAGAGAACUGGAAAGACGGAGCAAUCUGUCACUUGGGGAUGGGCCUGCGGCGCAUUAGCUAGUUGGUGGGGUAACGGCUCACCAAGGCGACGAUGCGUAGCCGACCUGAGAGGGUGAUCGGCCACACUGGGACUGAGACACGGCCCAGACUCCUACGGGAGGCAGCAGUAGGGAAUCUUCCGCAAUGGGCGAAAGCCUGACGGAGCAAUGCCGCGUGAGUGAUGAAGGUUUUCGGAUCGUAAAGCUCUGUUGCCAGGGAAGAACGCUUGGGAGAGUAACUGCUCUCAAGGUGACGGUACCUGAGAAGAAAGCCCCGGCUAACUACGUGCCAGCAGCCGCGGUAAUACGUAGGGGGCAAGCGUUGUCCGGAAUUAUUGGGCGUAAAGCGCGCGCAGGCGGUCAUUUAAGUCUGGUGUUUAAUCCCGGGGCUCA